This 301-nucleotide ribosomal RNA is filed under the name uncultured bacterium. RNAcentral describes it as "partial 16S ribosomal RNA". It matches the Rfam family "Bacterial small subunit ribosomal RNA", at positions 509 to 808 of the family's 1533-position model. The record is from RNAcentral.
CAGUCGCCGCGGUAAUACGAAGGGUGCAAGCGUUACUCGGAAUUACUGGGCGUAAAGCGUGCGUAGGUGGUGGUUUAAGUCCGUUGUGAAAGCCCUGGGCUCAACCUGGGAAUUGCAGUGGAUACUGGGUCACUAGAGUGUGGUAGAGGAUAGUGGAAUUUCCGGUGUAGCAGUGAAAUGCGUAGAGAUCGGAAGGAACAUCUGUGGCGAAGGCGACUAUCUGGGCCAACACUGACACUGAGGCACGAAAGCGUGGGGAGCAAACAGGAUUAGAUACCCCGCGUAGUCCCUGUCUCUUAUA